RNAcentral lists this unclassified non-coding RNA (15692 nucleotides) under Leishmania donovani. RNAcentral's name for it is "gene:LdHU3.34.3880(CDS-product:flagellar_attachme nt_zone_protein_putative)". The record is from RNAcentral. Lineage: Eukaryota; Euglenozoa; Kinetoplastea; Trypanosomatida; Trypanosomatidae.
CGAUAGUGUGUGCGUCUGUGCAUUUUUUCUCAAUCGUUUAUGUUCGAGUCUCUCUAUGACACUUCUCCGCGCUACUAGGAUACGCCUACUCACAAAAAUCCACUCAGCCGACUCAGAAGUACAGUUUUUUUUUUGUCUGAAAUUGGUACACUGCUAGAGCCUUGUCUCGUUUCUGAGCCUCUAUCACGGUUGCACUCGUGUAAACCGUCUUCCAACAUCGUUUUUCUUUUUUUUUCGUAGCUUGUUUGCUUGUUUCACCAUUAUCUCUCUUUAGUCUUUUUUUUGUCAUUCGCCUUUUUGUACCAAGCUACUAUUUGUGUUUUAGCUCCCAUUGUUUACCAAACCAAAAGUCUGCUGCUUCGAGUCGUCCAACAAUAAAAAGCGUUGUCGGUGAUCAGUAACUCUCAACAAGUCACAAACAGUGUGUAGGAGUCGAAACGUAGAGUGCUUUUUUUUUGCAACUUGUGAGACGUCUACUUUUUAGUGGGACUCGCGCGCGAUAGACGGAACUUUUAGAAGUGGGUUGUUUCUGGUGUGUUUCUGAAACGCGUGUGCUUUGAUCGGAACUAUCGAAGCCUGCUUGCACGGGAAACGCGAGUUAUCGCAAACGCUCUUGUCUUUUUCGUGAACGAAUUAUCAUUCCAUAGUCAGUUUUCUUCAUCUGGACUCUCUGUAGACCCAGCGACGAUGGCCCAUUUACCUUUGGAGGGGUCUGUUGUCUGCUAUGAGUUUCUGGACGCUAAAAGAAAGUGGCUAUGGGGUGUUGGGGCUGUUACUCACUCUGAUGACCGUGUGUGCGUAAUCAGCCAGUGGAUGGGAACACCAGUGGAUAAAGCCAUGACUGCGAAGCUAGAGAGUGAGGCCGCAUCUUCGAAGGCUGAGGCAAAGACCCACCAAGAUCGUCUCCUUGCCAUUCGAGAACGUAUUGAGUCACAGAGCUGUGGAACUUCAAAGGAGGAGAAGGAGCGAACAUCAGAGGAGUUGUCAGAGUGCCUUGUCUUGAUUGGCAAGCAUCGAAAUCGCUCUCGUUCGUUGUUGGCUGACCUGGAGAUAAUUAAAGGGCCGUCGACAGUUCAGGUGAAAUGCCAACAGUUUACCCCCGCGUCUUCUUCCAUAGCAAUCCUCCGCAGUUCUAUUCUGCGAGUCAUCUCGCAUGUGACAACCCCGUCUCUCGUGCUUUCUUCAGAGGAAGUAGAGUCUAUUGAGAAGGCGGUGACGCAUACCCACAGCCAGCUCAACAGCGAGCUUCACAAACUCCGCGCCACCGUUGAGGCAACGGAAAUAGAAAGCAACGAGUUGCGCGAUCAGAUUCGCAACCUCGAGGAGCAGCUGAAACGUGUGAAGACUACAUUCGAACCUGUACGAAUCUCUGAUGGUGGAGAGAGCGGAUCUGCAUUCCCUGAAAAACUGAGAGAGCACGACAUUUUGAGCUUGCGGGGUGCAUGGGACAGCAGCACAGCGUUGGUAAUGACCGAGCAUACUAUCAAAUUUCCUUGGGAUGAUGGGGAUACCCUGUUGCAUCACAAGCCAGAGGAAACGAAAUCCGUCUUUGCCGCGGAGGCUGCCUUCGCAUGUUGUGUGCCGAUCCAGUGCGUGACGAAUCCGAAAAUGACAACACAUGGAAAGCACCUUUCUGCUGAAUUCUCUGUCAGUCACCCCGAAACCGUGACAACAAAGGAAAUUGAUCAGAGGCUCGCAAGCUACGCGUUUCCAUCCAUGCACCUCCUUCAUGAGGAGCCUCUGGGUGUGAAAACUGGCCUCGACAGGGCUAUCGAAGGCCUUGAGCACGCGCUCGGGAUUCCAGAAGGUAAGCAUGAAGGUCUCUACUUCGACGAAUUCAUGGAAAACAUGCCGGACACCACUUUCAGCAACGACAAAGAUGCGUACGAAAGUGAAAUUGGCGACUUGCUCAUGCUUCUCGACAAGCUCAAUAACGAGAACCGCUCACUACAGUACACUCUAGACAAAUCUGCUGCCGAGUUGAAGAGGCAGGUGUCAGAGGCUCAGAAAGAUCACGACGCACUUAAUACCGAGAUCGGUCGGCUACGAAAUAUUGUCUCAAAGCUUAAGGAUCUUGCGGAACAGCAGGAGACAGAACUCGUGAGAAGCCGCGUCCAGACGCAACGGGCUGAAGAAGCGCGCUUCCACUACAACCUUGCCCCACCGGCCAACGACUCACAAGACGCAGAGUACGCAGUUACAAUGCAAGAGUACAAGGAUCAAAAAGAGGCCACCGAAAACGCUCAAAGGGCACUCGUGGAAGAGAAAGCCAAGGCGGAACAAAUGCAUCACCUCCUGAAAAUGCAUGAGCAGCAGUCUGCCCAAAACGCGAAACGGCUACGCUCCCUACAAGACGCUUUUGCAGCCGAAACCCAACAAACCGCUGAGAACUUUUGUGCACUCGAAUGUGAACUCAUUGACGUCCUCCUCCAGUUCAAAGCAUCACAAGCACUCACCCAAGCUCUACAUCACAUCAACUCCCAACAGCAGGCAGAGCUUUUCUCAUUCCGUGCGAGGCGCAACGCGGCGCUGGAGGCCCGCGACGCGGACGGCACGCUGCCCGUGCCGGCAAGGCCUGUGCCCGCGGGCGAGGCGGCGGAGCGCGCGCUGGAGCCGCAGCAGAUCGCCGACGAGCCGCUGUACGCUGUGACGCUGGAGGAGUACCUGGGCAAGGACGCGGCCGUGGAGCAGCUGGCGGCGGAACUGGAGGAGCAGAGGGCGGAGGCGGAGAGGCUUGCGAAGGAGGUGGCCGCCUUCCGCGCGAGGCGCAACGCGGCGCUGGAGGCCCGCGACGCGGACGGCACGCUGCCCGUGCCGGCAAGGCCUGUGCCCGCGGGCGAGGCGGCGGAGCGCGCGCUGGAGCCGCAGCAGAUCGCCGACGAGCCGCUGUACGCUGUGACGCUGGAGGAGUACCUGGGCAAGGACGCGGCCGUGGAGCAGCUGGCGGCGGAACUGGAGGAGCAGAGGGCGGAGGCGGAGAGGCUUGCGAAGGAGGUGGCCGCCUUCCGCGCGAGGCGGAACGCGGCGCUGGAGGCCCGCGACGCGGACGGCACGCUGCCCGUGCCGGCAAGGCCUGUGCCCGCGGGCGAGGCGGCGGAGCGCGCGCUGGAGCCGCAGCAGAUCGCCGACGAGCCGCUGUACGCUGUGACGCUGGAGGAGUACCUGGGCAAGGACGCGGCCGUGGAGCAGCUGGCGGCGGAGCUGGAGGAGCAGAGGGCGGAGGCGGAGAGGCUUGCGAAGGAGGUGGCCGCCUUCCGCGCGAGGCGCAACGCGGCGCUGGAGGCCCGCGACGCGGACGGCACGCUGCCCGUGCCGGCAAGGCCUGUGCCCGCGGGCGAGGCGGCGGAGCGCGCGCUGGAGCCGCAGCAGAUCGCCGACGAGCCGCUGUACGCUGUGACGCUGGAGGAGCUGGAGCAGGCUCGCGAGGAUGCUGCGCGCGGUGUAGCGGCGAUUGAGGACAAUGCUGCUGCUCUGGAGUCUGAGCUGCUGGAUGUGUUGGCUGAGUUGAAGGCAGUGAAAGGUGAGAACGCUGCACUGAGGGCUGUGUGUGAGAUGAAGGAUGCCGCGGUUGCUGACCUCGAGAAGCACGACGUGCGCGCUAACAACAGCGAUAAGGCGAAGCCGCAGACUACUUCGCGUCACACGAAGGUGUUUGAGGGCGAGGAGUGGGGCGCUGUUGUGGAGACGAAGCCGCACGCGCUUCACGACGCAUUUGUGACGGAUGUGUGCGCUGCAUGCCGCGUCUGUCGCGAUGACCUCUCUGAGAUCGCGUUUGCGCUGGGGAGUCUGCAAGCGAGCGUGAGUGUGACGCACAACAGUGACAUCAGCUGCGACGAUAUUGCGAAGCUUGUGGAGGAAUACCACUAUCCCAACGUGUGGGCCCUGUAUGCGAAGCGGUUGGCGCCAAAGGAUGGGCUUGAUGAGGCCAAGGACGCGAUCAGCGACCUUCAGCUCGCACUCGCCGCUAAGGAGGAGGAUGCCGCCAGGGUUGCUGAGAAACUGCACGAGGAGCGGGCGGAGGCGGAGAGGCUUGCGAAGGAGGUGGCCGCCUUCCGCGCGAGGCGGAACGCGGCGCUGGAGGCCCGCGACGCGGACGGCACGCUGCCCGUGCCGGCAAGGCCUGUGCCCGCGGGCGAGGCGGCGGAGCGCGCGCUGGAGCCGCAGCAGAUCGCCGACGAGCCGCUGUACGCUGUGACGCUGGAGGAGUACCUGGGCAAGGACGCGGCCGUGGAGCAGCUGGCGGCGGAGCUGGAGGAGCAGAGGGCGGAGGCGGAGAGGCUUGCGAAGGAGGUGGCCGCCUUCCGCGCGAGGCGGAACGCGGCGCUGGAGGCCCGCGACGCGGACGGCACGCUGCCCGUGCCGGCAAGGCCUGUGCCCGCGGGCGAGGCGGCGGAGCGCGCGCUGGAGCCGCAGCAGAUCGCCGACGAGCCGCUGUACGCUGUGACGCUGGAGGAGUACCUGGGCAAGGACGCGGCCGUGGAGCAGCUGGCGGCGGAGCUGGAGGAGCAGAGGGCGGAGGCGGAGAGGCUUGCGAAGGAGGUGGCCGCCUUCCGCGCGAGGCGGAACGCGGCGCUGGAGGCCCGCGACGCGGACGGCACGCUGCCCGUGCCGGCAAGGCCUGUGCCCGCGGGCGAGGCGGCGGAGCGCGCGCUGGAGCCGCAGCAGAUCGCCGACGAGCCGCUGUACGCUGUGACGCUGGAGGAGUACCUGGGCAAGGACGCGGCCGUGGAGCAGCUGGCGGCGGAGCUGGAGGAGCAGAGGGCGGAGGCGGAGAGGCUUGCGAAGGAGGUGGCCGCCUUCCGCGCGAGGCGGAACGCGGCGCUGGAGGCCCGCGACGCGGACGGCACGCUGCCCGUGCCGGCAAGGCCUGUGCCCGCGGGCGAGGCGGCGGAGCGCGCGCUGGAGCCGCAGCAGAUCGCCGACGAGCCGCUGUACGCUGUGACGCUGGAGGAGCUGGAGCAGGCUCGCGAGGAUGCUGCGCGCGGUGUAGCGGCGAUUGAGGACAAUGCUGCUGCUCUGGAGUCUGAGCUGCUGGAUGUGUUGGCUGAGUUGAAGGCAGUGAAAGGUGAGAACGCUGCACUGAGGGCUGUGUGUGAGAUGAAGGAUGCCGCGGUUGCUGACCUCGAGAAGCACGACGUGCGCGCUAACAACAGCGAUAAGGCGAAGCCGCAGACUACUUCGCGUCACACGAAGGUGUUUGAGGGCGAGGAGUGGGGCGCUGUUGUGGAGACGAAGCCGCACGCGCUUCACGACGCAUUUGUGACGGAUGUGUGCGCUGCAUGCCGCGUCUGUCGCGAUGACCUCUCUGAGAUCGCGUUUGCGCUGGGGAGUCUGCAAGCGAGCGUGAGUGUGACGCACAACAGUGACAUCAGCUGCGACGAUAUUGCGAAGCUUGUGGAGGAAUACCACUAUCCCAACGUGUGGGCCCUGUAUGCGAAGCGGUUGGCGCCAAAGGAUGGGCUUGAUGAGGCCAAGGACGCGAUCAGCGACCUUCAGCUCGCACUCGUCGCUAAGGAGGAGGAUGCCGCCAGGAUUGCUGAGAAACUGCACGAGGAGCGGGCGGAGGCGGAGAGGCUUGCGAAGGAGGUGGCCGCCUUCCGCGCGAGGCGGAACGCGGCGCUGGAGGCCCGCGACGCGGACGGCACGCUGCCCGUGCCGGCAAGGCCUGUGCCCGCGGGCGAGGCGGCGGAGCGCGCGCUGGAGCCGCAGCAGAUCGCCGACGAGCCGCUGUACGCUGUGACGCUGGAGGAGUACCUGGGCAAGGACGCGGCCGUGGAACAGCUGGCGGCGGAACUGGAGGAGCAGAGGGCGGAGGCGGAGAGGCUUGCGAAGGAGGUGGCCGCCUUCCGCGCGAGGCGCAACGCGGCGCUGGAGGCCCGCGACGCGGACGGCACGCUGCCCGUGCCGGCAAGGCCUGCGCCCGCGGGCGAGGCGGCGGAGCGCGCGCUGGAGCCGCAGCAGAUCGCCGACGAGCCGCUGUACGCUGUGACGCUGGAGGAGUACCUGGGCAAGGACGCGGCCGUGGAGCAGCUGGCGGCGGAGCUGGAGGAGCAGAGGGCGGGGGCGGAGAGGCUUGCGAAGGAGGUGGCCGCCUUCCGCGCGAGGCGCAACGCGGCGCUGGAGGCCCGCGACGCGGACGGCACGCUGCCCGUGCCGGCAAGGCCUGUGCCCGCGGGCGAGGCGGCGGAGCGCGCGCUGGAGCCGCAGCAGAUCGCCGACGAGCCGCUGUACGCUGUGACGCUGGGGGAGUACCUGGGCAAGGACGCGGCCGUGGAGCAGCUGGCGGCGGAGCUGGAGGAGCAGAGGGCGGAGGCGGAGAGGCUUGCGAAGGAGGUGGCCGCCUUCCGCGCGAGGCGGAACGCGGCGCUGGAGGCCCGCGACGCGGACGGCACGCUGCCCGUGCCGGCAAGGCCUGUGCCCGCGGGCGAGGCGGCGGAGCGCGCGCUGGAGCCGCAGCAGAUCGCCGACGAGCCGCUGUACGCUGUGACGCUGGGGGAGUACCUGGGCAAGGACGCGGCCGUGGAGCAGCUGGCGGCGGAGCUGGAGGAGCAGAGGGCGGAGGCGGAGAGGCUUGCGAAGGAGGUGGCCGCCUUCCGCGCGAGGCGCAACGCGGCGCUGGAGGCCCGCGACGCGGACGGCACGCUGCCCGUGCCGGCAAGGCCUGCGCCCGCGGGCGAGGCGGCGGAGCGCGCGCUGGAGCCGCAGCAGAUCGCCGACGAGCCGCUGUACGCUGUGACGCUGGAGGAGUACCUGGGCAAGGACGCGGCCGUGGAGCAGCUGGCGGCGGAGCUGGAGGAGCAGAGGGCGGGGGCGGAGAGGCUUGCGAAGGAGGUGGCCGCCUUCCGCGCGAGGCGCAACGCGGCGCUGGAGGCCCGCGACGCGGACGGCACGCUGCCCGUGCCGGCAAGGCCUGUGCCCGCGGGCGAGGCGGCGGAGCGCGCGCUGGAGCCGCAGCAGAUCGCCGACGAGCCGCUGUACGCUGUGACGCUGGGGGAGUACCUGGGCAAGGACGCGGCCGUGGAGCAGCUGGCGGCGGAGCUGGAGGAGCAGAGGGCGGAGGCGGAGAGGCUUGCGAAGGAGGUGGCCGCCUUCCGCGCGAGGCGGAACGCGGCGCUGGAGGCCCGCGACGCGGACGGCACGCUGCCCGUGCCGGCAAGGCCUGUGCCCGCGGGCGAGGCGGCGGAGCGCGCGCUGGAGCCGCAGCAGAUCGCCGACGAGCCGCUGUACGCUGUGACGCUGGAGGAGCUGGAGCAGGCUCGCGAGGAUGCUGCGCGCGGUGUAGCGGCGAUUGAGGACAAUGCUGCUGCUCUGGAGUCUGAGCUGCUGGAUGUGUUGGCUGAGUUGAAGGCAGUGAAAGGUGAGAACGCUGCACUGAGGGCUGUGUGUGAGAUGAAGGAUGCCGCGGUUGCUGACCUCGAGAAGCACGACGUGCGCGCUAACAACAGCGAUAAGGCGAAGCCGCAGACUACUUCGCGUCACACGAAGGUGUUUGAGGGCGAGGAGUGGGGCGCUGUUGUGGAGACGAAGCCGCACGCGCUUCACGACGCAUUUGUGACGGAUGUGUGCGCUGCAUGCCGCGUCUGUCGCGAUGACCUCUCUGAGAUCGCGUUUGCGCUGGGGAGUCUGCAAGCGAGCGUGAGUGUGACGCACAACAGUGACAUCAGCUGCGACGAUAUUGCGAAGCUUGUGGAGGAAUACCACUAUCCCAACGUGUGGGCCCUGUAUGCGAAGCGGUUGGCGCCAAAGGAUGGGCUUGAUGAGGCCAAGGACGCGAUCAGCGACCUUCAGCUCGCACUCGCCGCUAAGGAGGAGGAUGCCGCCAGGGUUGCUGAGAAACUGCACGAGGAGCGGGCGGAGGCGGAGAGGCUUGCGAAGGAGGUGGCCGCCUUCCGCGCGAGGCGGAACGCGGCGCUGGAGGCCCGCGACGCGGACGGCACGCUGCCCGUGCCGGCAAGGCCUGUGCCCGCGGGCGAGGCGGCGGAGCGCGCGCUGGAGCCGCAGCAGAUCGCCGACGAGCCGCUGUACGCUGUGACGCUGGGGGAGUACCUGGGCAAGGACGCGGCCGUGGAGCAGCUGGCGGCGGAGCUGGAGGAGCAGAGGGCGGAGGCGGAGAGGCUUGCGAAGGAGGUGGCCGCCUUCCGCGCGAGGCGCAACGCGGCGCUGGAGGCCCGCGACGCGGACGGCACGCUGCCCGUGCCGGCAAGGCCUGUGCCCGCGGGCGAGGCGGCGGAGCGCGCGCUGGAGCCGCAGCAGAUCGCCGACGAGCCGCUGUACGCUGUGACGCUGGGGGAGUACCUGGGCAAGGACGCGGCCGUGGAGCAGCUGGCGGCGGAGCUGGAGGAGCAGAGGGCGGAGGCGGAGAGGCUUGCGAAGGAGGUGGCCGCCUUCCGCGCGAGGCGCAACGCGGCGCUGGAGGCCCGCGACGCGGACGGCACGCUGCCCGUGCCGGCAAGGCCUGUGCCCGCGGGCGAGGCGGCGGAGCGCGCGCUGGAGCCGCAGCAGAUCGCCGACGAGCCGCUGUACGCUGUGACGCUGGAGGAGUACCUGGGCAAGGACGCGGCCGUGGAGCAGCUGGCGGCGGAGCUGGAGGAGCAGAGGGCGGAGGCGGAGAGGCUUGCGAAGGAGGUGGCCGCCUUCCGCGCGAGGCGGAACGCGGCGCUGGAGGCCCGCGACGCGGACGGCACGCUGCCCGUGCCGGCAAGGCCUGUGCCCGCGGGCGAGGCGGCGGAGCGCGCGCUGGAGCCGCAGCAGAUCGCCGACGAGCCGCUGUACGCUGUGACGCUGGAGGAGUACCUGGGCAAGGACGCGGCCGUGGAGCAGCUGGCGGCGGAGCUGGAGGAGCAGAGGGCGGAGGCGGAGAGGCUUGCGAAGGAGGUGGCCGCCUUCCGCGCGAGGCGGAACGCGGCGCUGGAGGCCCGCGACGCGGACGGCACGCUGCCCGUGCCGGCAAGGCCUGUGCCCGCGGGCGAGGCGGCGGAGCGCGCGCUGGAGCCGCAGCAGAUCGCCGACGAGCCGCUGUACGCUGUGACGCUGGAGGAGUACCUGGGCAAGGACGCGGCCGUGGAGCAGCUGGCGGCGGAGCUGGAGGAGCAGAGGGCGGAGGCGGAGAGGCUUGCGAAGGAGGUGGCCGCCUUCCGCGCGAGGCGCAACGCGGCGCUGGAGGCCCGCGACGCGGACGGCACGCUGCCCGUGCCGGCAAGGCCUGUGCCCGCGGGCGAGGCGGCGGAGCGCGCGCUGGAGCCGCAGCAGAUCGCCGACGAGCCGCUGUACGCUGUGACGCUGGGGAGUACCUGGGCAAGGACGCGGCCGUGGAGCAGCUGGCGGCGGAGCUGGAGGAGCAGAGGGCGGAGGCGGAGAGGCUUGCGAAGGAGGUGGCCGCCUUCCGCGCGAGGCGGAACGCGGCGCUGGAGGCCCGCGACGCGGACGGCACGCUGCCCGUGCCGGCAAGGCCUGUGCCCGCGGGCGAGGCGGCGGAGCGCGCGCUGGAGCCGCAGCAGAUCGCCGACGAGCCGCUGUACGCUGUGACGCUGGAGGAGCUGGAGCAGGCUCGCGAGGAUGCUGCGCGCGGUGUAGCGGCGAUUGAGGACAAUGCUGCUGCUCUGGAGUCUGAGCUGCUGGAUGUGUUGGCUGAGUUGAAGGCAGUGAAAGGUGAGAACGCUGCACUGAGGGCUGUGUGUGAGAUGAAGGAUGCCGCGGUUGCUGACCUCGAGAAGCACGACGUGCGCGCUAACAACAGCGAUAAGGCGAAGCCGCAGACUACUUCGCGUCACACGAAGGUGUUUGAGGGCGAGGAGUGGGGCGCUGUUGUGGAGACGAAGCCGCACGCGCUUCACGACGCAUUUGUGACGGAUGUGUGCGCUGCAUGCCGCGUCUGUCGCGAUGACCUCUCUGAGAUCGCGUUUGCGCUGGGGAGUCUGCAAGCGAGCGUGAGUGUGACGCACAACAGUGACAUCAGCUGCGACGAUAUUGCGAAGCUUGUGGAGGAAUACCACUAUCCCAACGUGUGGGCCCUGUAUGCGAAGCGGUUGGCGCCAAAGGAUGGGCUUGAUGAGGCCAAGGACGCGAUCAGCGACCUUCAGCUCGCACUCGCCGCUAAGGAGGAGGAUGCCGCCAGGGUUGCUGAGAAACUGCACGAGGAGCGGGCGGAGGCGGAGAGGCUUGCGAAGGAGGUGGCCGCCUUCCGCGCGAGGCGGAACGCGGCGCUGGAGGCCCGCGACGCGGACGGCACGCUGCCCGUGCCGGCAAGGCCUGUGCCCGCGGGCGAGGCGGCGGAGCGCGCGCUGGAGCCGCAGCAGAUCGCCGACGAGCCGCUGUACGCUGUGACGCUGGGGGAGUACCUGGGCAAGGACGCGGCCGUGGAGCAGCUGGCGGCGGAGCUGGAGGAGCAGAGGGCGGAGGCGGAGAGGCUUGCGAAGGAGGUGGCCGCCUUCCGCGCGAGGCGCAACGCGGCGCUGGAGGCCCGCGACGCGGACGGCACGCUGCCCGUGCCGGCAAGGCCUGUGCCCGCGGGCGAGGCGGCGGAGCGCGCGCUGGAGCCGCAGCAGAUCGCCGACGAGCCGCUGUACGCUGUGACGCUGGGGGAGUACCUGGGCAAGGACGCGGCCGUGGAGCAGCUGGCGGCGGAGCUGGAGGAGCAGAGGGCGGAGGCGGAGAGGCUUGCGAAGGAGGUGGCCGCCUUCCGCGCGAGGCGCAACGCGGCGCUGGAGGCCCGCGACGCGGACGGCACGCUGCCCGUGCCGGCAAGGCCUGUGCCCGCGGGCGAGGCGGCGGAGCGCGCGCUGGAGCCGCAGCAGAUCGCCGACGAGCCGCUGUACGCUGUGACGCUGGAGGAGUACCUGGGCAAGGACGCGGCCGUGGAGCAGCUGGCGGCGGAGCUGGAGGAGCAGAGGGCGGAGGCGGAGAGGCUUGCGAAGGAGGUGGCCGCCUUCCGCGCGAGGCGCAACGCGGCGCUGGAGGCCCGCGACGCGGACGGCACGCUGCCCGUGCCGGCAAGGCCUGUGCCCGCGGGCGAGGCGGCGGAGCGCGCGCUGGAGCCGCAGCAGAUCGCCGACGAGCCGCUGUACGCUGUGACGCUGGAGGAGUACCUGGGCAAGGACGCGGCCGUGGAGCAGCUGGCGGCGGAGCUGGAGGAGCAGAGGGCGGAGGCGGAGAGGCUUGCGAAGGAGGUGGCCGCCUUCCGCGCGAGGCGCAACGCGGCGCUGGAGGCCCGCGACGCGGACGGCACGCUGCCCGUGCCGGCAAGGCCUGUGCCCGCGGGCGAGGCGGCGGAGCGCGCGCUGGAGCCGCAGCAGAUCGCCGACGAGCCGCUGUACGCUGUGACGCUGGAGGAGUACCUGGGCAAGGACGCGGCCGUGGAGCAGCUGGCGGCGGAGCUGGAGGAGCAGAGGGCGGAGGCGGAGAGGCUUGCGAAGGAGGUGGCCGCCUUCCGCGCGAGGCGGAACGCGGCGCUGGAGGCCCGCGACGCGGACGGCACGCUGCCCGUGCCGGCAAGGCCUGUGCCCGCGGGCGAGGCGGCGGAGCGCGCGCUGGAGCCGCAGCAGAUCGCCGACGAGCCGCUGUACGCUGUGACGCUGGAGGAGUACCUGGGCAAGGACGCGGCCGUGGAGCAGCUGGCGGCGGAGCUGGAGGAGCAGAGGGCGGAGGCGGAGAGGCUUGCGAAGGAGGUGGCCGCCUUCCGCGCGAGGCGCAACGCGGCGCUGGAGGCCCGCGACGCGGACGGCACGCUGCCCGUGCCGGCAAGGCCUGUGCCCGCGGGCGAGGCGGCGGAGCGCGCGCUGGAGCCGCAGCAGAUCGCCGACGAGCCGCUGUACGCUGUGACGCUGGGGGAGUACCUGGGCAAGGACGCGGCCGUGGAGCAGCUGGCGGCGGAGCUGGAGGAGCAGAGGGCGGAGGCGGAGAGGCUUGCGAAGGAGGUGGCCGCCUUCCGCGCGAGGCGGAACGCGGCGCUGGAGGCCCGCGACGCGGACGGCACGCUGCCCGUGCCGGCAAGGCCUGCGCCCGCGGGCGAGGCGGCGGAGCGCGCGCUGGAGCCGCAGCAGAUCGCCGACGAGCCGCUGUACGCUGUGACGCUGGAGGAGUACCUGGGCAAGGACGCGGCCGUGGAGCAGCUGGCGGCGGAGCUGGAGGAGCAGAGGGCGGAGGCGGAGAGGCUUGCGAAGGAGGUGGCCGCCUUCCGCGCGAGGCGCAACGCGGCGCUGGAGGCCCGCGACGCGGACGGCACGCUGCCCGUGCCGGCAAGGCCUGUGCCCGCGGGCGAGGCGGCGGAGCGCGCGCUGGAGCCGCAGCAGAUCGCCGACGAGCCGCUGUACGCUGUGACGCUGGAGGAAUUUUGUGCAGUCAGGGCUGAGGCGGAAAGUCGAGGAUUCGACGUUGAAGAUCUUGGACGACAGCUCAGCGAGAAGGGUGACGAGUGCGGAGAUCUUCUCGAAAAGCUGGAGGAGGCGGUUGGUUUGUUGGCAGAGGCGCGAAACGAGAGCGAAGAUGUGCGGGGUCAAUGGGCGGAGGCUGAGCGGGCGUCGGAGGCGGCUCUGCGGACGAUGGAAAAGGAUCGGGCGAAGGUGGCUGCUGAGUUAUCGGCUCUGAGUCUGACUAACGAGAAGCUGGUCGCUGAAGUUCGGGCUUUCCGAAGGAGACGCCUCGAUACUAUCGCCUGCCGGGAAGCUGAAGGUAGGUUUUCUGGUGAGGAGCUGAGCGAAAAGGUUGACGUGGCCGGUGUAGACGUGCCGGUGUCACCUGUCACCAUUGAACGGGAGCCCUUGUUCUGUGUGAAGCUGGAUGAGCUAAAGGAACAGCGGGACUUGAAUGCUCAAAUGGUGAUGGAGCUGAGUGCGUUAGGUGAACGGAUUCGGGAUGCGAUGGAUCCCGAUGCAGUCAGGGACCCCUCCAGCGAAGCUGUGUUCUCUCAUCUUGAGGCACUUUUGAAGGCUCUAGAGGAGUCACGUGACGCCGAACAGUCGUGGCGGGAUCUCGCAGAGGAGAGGGAGCGUGAGCUGGAGCAGCUGCGGAAACUGUUCAAGAAUGAGGAGGAGCGCUGGAAGAACGACCUUGGGGAGGCUCAGGAGGAGGUGGAGCGUCUCCAGGGUGAACUGGAUUUGCUUACGGACAAGUUGGACGAAGCAUGCAGGCUUUUUGGCGACGCAGAUGCUGUGAGCGCCGAAGGCGUGGCGAAGCUAGAGGCCUUUGCCGAAGUGUUGGCGGCGGCGCGCGACACAGAGAAGGCUGCUAUGGUGCAGCUGGAAGCCAAGGAGAGCGAGCUCGAGGAGCUUCGCAUUGCGCUGAAGGACACGAAGGUUUGUGAGGAGAUGCGAGAAAACCUCGAGGAUGAACUGAAACAGCUGCAAAAGGAGAAGGAGAUCACCGAGACGGAGCUGGGUGCGGUGCAGAAGGAAGUGAACGACCUGCGAUAUGAUCUACGCGCCGCUGAGUACAGGGCCGCCGAAAAGGCGAGGGAGGUCGAAAGAAUGACGUUGGACCUCGACGCACUGAACAAUCGAAUUCAGGACCUGCUUGAGGAGCUGAAGGAAAAGACAGAUCAGUACAAUCAAGUUAUCAAGGAUCUGGACGACUUCGCCAAUAGUCAGAGCCAUGAGAAUGAAAAGGAACUGCUUCAGCGUCUUGCGGCGCGUGAACAGGAGCUGUUCGAGCUGCAGGAGGCACGCCGCGGCGAGAACGACGAACACGAGAAACAAGUGGGUGUGCUACGAGACCAGAUUAAUCGUCUACGAGAUCAGACGGAUCAGGACAACACUCUACACGAUGGACUUCAGGACGAGCUGGCUCGUCUGCGCAAGUUGCUCCUGGACGCGGAAGCUGCACUGCGGGACAAGACUGCUGAAAACGAGGCUCUCAAGGACGACAUGGAGAGCAUGAUUGACGAGCACGAGGCGCAGAUGCGCGAGAUGGAGCAGGAACUGGAAGGCAAGGGCAAAGAGGUUUCCGAUGCGUUGGAACGUCUGGAGGAAAUGUCAGCCAUGGUUCAAGAGGCUCGUGAGGGCGAGGAGAGCGCGCUGAGACUGCGCGCCGACUCUGACGCGGAGGUGUUCCGGCUGCAAAAGGAGCUCGACAAGAUCAAGCGGCUGCAAAGUGCCAUGGCGGAGUCAGGUGAUGACAAGAGCAGCCUCUUUGCUCAAAUCAUAGAUACGGAAGGUCAGCUGCGCGACGCAGUGGCCACCAUCCGCAAGAAGGAUGCUCAGCUGGACGAGGUGGAGAAGGAGUGGCAAAAAAAACUGAACAAGUCUGAGGAUCUCAAUCAUGACCUUAGACGGCUGCUGAAACGGACCAUGGCCGCGCUUUCCAAGUCCAAGGAUACCAUGGGCAACUCAGCCGGUGCGUUGGAUGCCUUUCGCGAUGAGCUGAAGCCCAUGAUGCAAUAGCGUUUGAGCCUCUGGCCCGUCGUGUAAGAGCUUCGAGGAGGUCUGUAUGUGUGUGUGUGCGUGUGGUGGUUCUUUCCUGCGAAAAGGAAUGAGAGGAGAGGCACCUUGAAAGGAUAGCGCGCCUCGUCUUUUGUUCGCCCUCGUUUUCGUAUCUCCAAGAAGCAUUCCCUCUUUCACUCUAUCUCCUCGUGCGUGUGGGUUUUGUACGAUGAUGCUGCUCAGCAUAGGCGGCGCCAGUCGACCGAAAAGAGGAGAAGCACUGCUGGUCUUGAUGUUUUUUUUUUCUGGAUAGGCGAAAUAGAAGGGGAGAGCAUCACGAGAGUUCAUGUCGAAAGAUCCCCUCAUCAAGCAGUAGCACAGCAACAAAAAGAUGAACAAUCAUGGCGAAAGCCCUGGGUCUUCGAAGAGGUCGAGGGCUGCGCCUUUCACGGAUGGAUAGGAGUUCUUUUCUUGUCGUGAAUCUUGUUUCAUGAGUCUGCCGCUACUCCCUUUCGCCUUCGCAGGAUCUACCAGAUCACAGCGCCGAAGGCAAAACGUUGAAAAGCGGACGUGCUACGUGGAACCUGACGUAAGAGGCUACACGUGGGUGUGCCUUCUCUCCGUGUUCCUCACAUUCACCAGUGGCACUCCGGCGGCAGCAUAGAGCACACAUUAGCAAGAUGAGUUGUCGUGUUGUAAGCUGGCGAGAAAGGUGCCAGUAAAGAGGGAGGGAGGAGUGCGGUAACGGCGACGAGGAAACGCGAGGGAGUCUUCACUGGAACAGCGAAGCGCGUCUGCGUCUAAUAUUUGGCUUUCAGAGCAUUCGGCGACGCAGUGCUUCGUAACCAUUUUCCUCCUCUUGCUGUCCUCCCUUCUCACUUUGGGUCAAAAAGGAGCACAUGGAAAUGCCGCCACGCCUCUGUAUGGAUGUAUGCGUAUGCACACCCUAUAUACGUAUACAUAUAUAUAGACGUGCGCCACUUCUUCAACUUGCACUCGCCCACCAACUGUUGCUUUCACCCUCUCUCCUGCACCUUCUUUGACAAUCGCAUACACACACACACUCACAUAUGAGUGGGAAUAAUCUUCGCUUUACGUCUCUUCGUAUCUCCUCCGUUACACAACUAUCUCCGUGUACGGUUCUAUGGGUCGGACAUGUGUCUGUCUUACGUUGCCGUGCAUACGCAAUACCCAAACUCCUGCUCUUCAACCCGCUUUGCCAACAUUCUUCUCCCAUACGUACACUUCUCCUGAUUCACACACACACGCGCGCGCACAUCCACUGCCACGACACAUGUUUCUUUUCUGAACGAAAAUAACAAUUUCACUUUCCUCCUGCAG